GUGUCAGCAGCCGCGGUAAGACGGAGGGUGCAAGCGUUGUUCGGAAUUACUGGGCGUAAAGCGCGUGUAGGCGGCUAGCUAAGUCUGAUGUGAAAGCCCGGGGCUCACCCCCGGAAGUGCAUUGGAAACUGGCGAGCUCGAGUCCCGGAGAGGAGGGUGGAAUUCCUGGUGUAGCGGUGAAAUGCGUAGAUAUCAGGAGGAACACCGGUGGCGAAGGCGGCCCUCUGGACGGUGACUGACGCUGAGACGCGAAAGCGUGGGGAGCAAACAGGAUUAGAUACCCUGGUAGUCC
Molecule: ribosomal RNA, 292 nt
Filed under: uncultured bacterium
Lineage: Bacteria
Description: partial 16S ribosomal RNA
Rfam family: Bacterial small subunit ribosomal RNA
Source: RNAcentral